AACAAGGCGUACCUGCGGACCUGCGGAGGGAUCAUUACCGAGUUAGGGUAGUCACUCACUGCCCGACCUCCCAACCCUGUGUCUAUCACACUUUGUCGUUGCUUCGGCGGACCGGUUGACCAACUGGUCAUGACCGCCGGGGGCUGGCUCUGUCCCCCCUGGAGAGCGUCCGCCGAUGGCCCAACCACAAAACUCUUGUACCGAAACGUGUCGUCUGAAUUAUGUUUGAGAAAUCAAAAA
Molecule: unclassified non-coding RNA, 240 nt
Filed under: soil metagenome
Description: partial contains 5.8S ribosomal RNA, internal transcribed spacer 2, and large subunit ribosomal RNA
Source: RNAcentral